Nelumbo nucifera (sacred lotus) is the source of this 564-nucleotide long non-coding RNA. RefSeq lists it as uncharacterized. NCBI's taxonomy places the organism in Eukaryota, Viridiplantae, Streptophyta, Magnoliopsida, Proteales, Nelumbonaceae. The record is from RefSeq and is a predicted model, not a curated record.
AUUUCUUUUCUGGAAAAGAAUACCCCGUUCAUUUCCAACCCUACUCCAAAGUUGGAAUGUCGUGUGACUGAACAGGAAGGGCAGACCACCAAAGUCCAAACUAUCCGCUGCCGCCGAACCGACCUCCGGUCAGGAUUGACCUAUUUCUUCACUGGUGCCAUUAACGAGCUUUUCAAACCAGUAAAUCCAGGAUGAUGUAGUUAUGAUUGAAGAACCAUGGAUAAAUGAGAAUACAUCUAAACCUGAUAAGAUAUCAUCAGGAGAAAGAGGUGAAAUGACAUCAAGGGAGGAGAUCCCAUGUCUAGAUGCCACUGACAUGGAUGAAGUUAAGAAUGAUCAAACUGUUGCUAGUUGUCUAGAGAAUAUCACAUUAGAGGACAUGGAAAUUGUUCUUCCGGGAACCGGUUCUUUGGUCCAAUUCAUGGGUAAUGAUAGAUCCACCAAAACUUUUCAAUCGUAAGUUCCUUGAACUCCUAUGUUCUCAUCCGAUGUGUCAUUUGGACUUUAAUCAAUACAACAAAAUCAGAAAACAAGGAUAUUCUGCUUCUUAUGGCUGCCAUGUUA